CAAUCAGCUUCCAACAGCCCGAGUGCAUGAGAGUUUUAGGUGACACUCUAGUCCUAACAAGGGCCUAUGGCGUACUUAUCACAAGACCAGCAGAGGGAAGAGAAGACGCCCUGGGGAUGCUGGCCUUAGGAACAGCUGAAUUUUCACUAAGCAAGAGAUCCUCUUCUGCAGACUCCUGGAUAUAUGACUGGAGCUGGACUAAGGAACAGGUGUCCAAGCAGUUCAUCUGUAAAGAGAGGUCAGGCAUCAGAAGCUUCAUGGUGUUGGGAUCUCCAAGGAAAGGAAUUUGAUAUCCACUUACUAAGAAAGCCGCCCGCCUGCUGAAUCAGAGUUUUACCCACUGGGAGACUGCAGAAGAGCUCUGAUUCCAUUCACCAGCUGUCAUCCACCCAGGCCUUUCCACCAGAUGUUUCUGCUUUGGAGCCAGCCGACCAUGGACUGAAACUGAAGGAAAAAAGAAGAAGCAUUGACGGUGCCUGCUAACAGUGACGUGCAUCACAGCAUUAACAGGUGAGAAAACGGUGUGGCUCAGAAAAUUCUCUUUUUGCAACCCAGCUCACAGCCAACAAAGGCCUGCAGUGCCAGCAGCCCCUCUGCUAGCACACCCCAGUUUAUCCAUCAGUCACAAGUGACGAUCUCCUCCCUGCCCCUCCCCGCCCCAUAGGCCCAAUUCCCAACUCCAGUCCUGUCAUCCCAAAGAGCAAGCCGUGUAAUGUCACGGGAGCAUCCGCAGGAUGCUUUCCUGUCCCAGCAAGAGAAAUGCUUGGUGUGCAGGGGGGAGCCUGGGGGAAGGUCCGAGGCCUGGACAGCAGUGGCGGCUGACAAGUCAGGGAAGUGAGCAGUGAGGAGGGGAGUGCACUGAUAAGACUGGCUGUGGGGAGAAAGGGAAGAAGAAAGGACUUAGGGCUCUGCCCUGCUCCUGGCUGGUUGCUGAGACAGCCACCCAGGAGAGAAACCGGGCUUUCGGUAAGAGAACGCCAGGGCUGGACCCACCUGGGCAGAGCACUGAGUGUGCCCGAGGCUCCCCUUUCCCAUGCCACUAGCUCUGUGGGUUUGGGGAGGGACCCUGAAAGCCCAGCAGAGCUGGAUUAGGCCAACCAUGCCCCCCACCCCCAGCGACCACCUGCCAGGCCUCCUUCUUCAGGUUCAGACAUGUUCUCUCUCUCUCUGUGUCUCUCCCUCAGAGAUGGACACCAAGUGCUGUCUGUGCCUCUCAUUCACCCCUUAGUACACUGUUCUCAAUCUACAGUGUGUAUUCAGGCUGCCGCCUGGGACCACCCAUUAAUAGCCCCAGCAAGGUCUGCAUAGGGGCGAGGUGGGCCUGGGGUCCCAGUUGGCUCCACCUCUUCCAGAUGAGCUACUCGGCUUAUGCUGAUUUGUGCCUCCUGCAGUGUACCACAGGGAUAAGGGGAGUAUGUGCUUCAGAAGUUCGUGGUAGCCAUCAAAUGGGAUCAGGCUCUGAAGGUAGCUCAGACUGUCUGCCUGGCCCUUGGUACAUGCUCGCUAAGAACUUCUCCCUCUUCUUUCCUCUUUCUCCCUUCUUUUUCUUCUCUGCUUGUUUCUACAGUGUAGAUAUUGGUUUCUGUGGCUGCCAUAACAAGUUGCCUCAAACUUGGUGUCUUAAAACAACAGGAUCCUACUAAAUUAAUGCAGAAAUGAAGCCACUCAUUCAUUCACUCACUCUCCAACAGUUCUGGAGGCCCAAAGUCUGAAAUCAAACUGUCAGGAGAGCUACUCUCCCUUCAAGGACUCUAGGGCAAGGUCUGUCCUUGCCUCUUCAGCUUCUGGUGGUCCCGGGUGUUCCUUGACUUAUAUCCACAUCACUCCAGUCUGUUUCCAUCUUCACCUCACCUUCCCCAUGUUUGCCUUCUGCCUUUUACUUAUAAGGAUUCAUCCUUGGAUUUAAGGUCCACCAGCAUAACUCAGGAUGACCACAUCGUGAGAUCCUUCACUUAACUACACCUUCGAAGACCUUUUUCCAAAUAAGGUCAUAGUCACAGGCUGUGGGUUGACACAUCUUUGGGGAAGGGGGUAUCAUUCAAUACACCACAGUAUAAAUGUCAGCAUUUCUCAAAGACCCCAGGCUGGGAUACCAAGCCACCUUCACCUUCUCUGAACUGGGCACCUGCCAGACACUCUCAGAGCUAAGCUCCCGUAGCCAAAACAGGGGACAAGACCACAGCUUAGGUCAACUCUGUGGAACUCAUGGGAAACAGGGUCUUGGAGAUCAGGUGACUCCAUGCCAAGUGGCUCUCCCCCUUCCCAACAAACCUGGAGACACACACCAGCAUCAGCCAUGCACCCCGGAGUGCAGAGGGUGGGACGAGCUUAUCCUAGCCUUGGAGCUAAAGUCCUGACUACGAUAUCUGUCACCUUGGACCCAGUUCUCCAGGCAAAAUAGCAGCAGCAUGCUCUGGUAAGGCUUCAAAGCAGGGGAGUGGAAACAUCUUUAAGAGACGCCAGCCCAUUUCCCCUACCUGCAUAGCCUUGAGGCUUGAGACUGAUCUUUCUCCUGUGUCAGACAGGACAAACUUAUGCUCCCUGUGCUGGGAAAAGCAAGGACUCUGGCAGAAAGCCAGAGCUCGAGGGUGGGGAUGGGGUGCCCAUGUGCCUCAGCCUUCCUGGCACAUCUCUAAGAAUGCAGUGAUGGAACAGAGCAAGAGAAAGACCAUGUUUUUCACCGAAAGGGGAGGGGACAAUCCUGCGACCAAUUUCAGUGAUUAGCCACAAGAAGAGGGCCCUUUAUUCCAGGCAUGUGUAUGCUUUUUAAUUUCCUCUUGUGGGCUCCUGAGGGGCCCAGUAACCGUGCAAUUAGUAUUCCUCUCCAGCCUUGGAGGACGUGGGCUGCUCUCGGAGAUGGCUCCAGGUGGGAGCCAGUACCACUUGCACUCCCAGCCUCCCGUUUACUGCCCAGUUCCAAAACCCCAUGGCAAGGGGAAGGAGAGGCAGCGCCCUCCCAGCACCCAGGUGGGUUGUCCCUCAAGGGUGAAGAGGUGACAGGUGACUUCUAGCCUUCCCGCUUUGUGGGAAACAAAAUAAAAAUGCUUUACUGGGAAGGAAAAGGCUUGGCUGACCUUAAGCAAUUAAUGUAGAUGUUACAAACCAGGCCAACUUGGGGGUGGAAAAUUGCAUUACAAGAAGACCUUUUGCUUCACAAAAAGAGUUCUGGAGGCUGCAAAAGAUGGCUCCCCACGGAGGUUAAAGAGUCCAUCUACAAAACAGUGAUUCAACUGGACAAUGCAGCUCUGUUGUGAAAAGCCAGCGCAGCUACUGACUUCCACCAGCCUGGUCACCCCAGAUGCUUUGUACCCUUA
This 3314-nucleotide long non-coding RNA is filed under the name Heterocephalus glaber (naked mole-rat). RNAcentral describes it as "lncRNA (ENSHGLG00100036147.1)". The record is from RNAcentral. Lineage: Eukaryota; Metazoa; Chordata; Mammalia; Rodentia; Bathyergidae.